Molecule: ribosomal RNA, 305 nt
Filed under: uncultured bacterium
Lineage: Bacteria
Description: bacterial SSU rRNA
Rfam family: Bacterial small subunit ribosomal RNA
Source: RNAcentral
UGGUGCCUACGGGGCGCAGCAGUGAGGAAUAUUGGUCAAUGGGCGAGAGCCUGAACCAGCCAAGUCGCGUGAAGGAUGACGGCCCUACGGGUUGUAAACUUCUUUUGUCAGGGAGCAAUUGAGUCCACGUGUGGGCUUAGCGAGAGUACCUGAAGAAAAAGCAUCGGCUAACUCCGUGCCAGCAGCCGCGGUAAUACGGAGGAUGCGAGCGUUAUCCGGAUUUAUUGGGUUUAAAGGGUGCGCAGGCGGUCUGUUAAGUCAGCGGUCAAAGCCCGGGGCCCAACCCCGGCCCGCCGUUGAAACUG